UCACCUUGCUAUCAUCCUACUUACCUCGGC
RNAcentral lists this small RNA (30 nucleotides) under Bombyx mori (domestic silkworm). RNAcentral's name for it is "ovarian small RNA-25217". Lineage: Eukaryota; Metazoa; Arthropoda; Insecta; Lepidoptera; Bombycidae. The record is from RNAcentral.